GCCAGACUCCUACGGGAGGCAGCAGUGGGGAAUAUUGCACAAUGGGGGAAACCCUGAUGCAGCGACGCCGCGUGAGUGAAGAAGUAUUUCGGUAUGUAAAGCUCUAUCAGCAGGAACGAGACAAGACGGUACCUGACUAAGAAGCCCCGGCUAACUACGUGCCAGCAGCCGCGGUAAUACGUAGGGGGCAAGCGUUAUCCGGAAUCACUGGGUGUAAAGGGAGCGUAGACGGCUGUGCAAGCCUGAAGUGAAAGGCGGGGGCCCAACCCCUGGACUGCUUUGGGAACUGUACGGCUGGAGUGCAGGAGAGGUAAGUGGAAUUCCUAGUGUAGCGGUGAAAUGCGUAGAUAUUAGGAGGAACACCAGUGGCGAAGGCGGCUUACUGGACUGUAACUGACGUUGAGGCUCGAAAGCGUGGGGAGCAAACAGGAUUAGAUACCCGGGUACG
This 448-nucleotide ribosomal RNA is filed under the name uncultured bacterium. RNAcentral describes it as "bacterial SSU rRNA". It matches the Rfam family "Bacterial small subunit ribosomal RNA", at positions 330 to 793 of the family's 1533-position model. The record is from RNAcentral.